GUCCACGCCCUAAACGAUGUCUACUAGUUGUUGGGUCUUAAUUGACUUGGUAACGCAGCUAACGCGAGAAGUAGACCGCCUGGGGAGUACGGUCGCAAGAUUAAAACUCAAAGGAAUUGACGGGACCCGCACAAGCGGUGGAUGAUGUGGAUUAAUUCGAUGCUACGCGAAAACCUUACCUACCCUUGACAUGGUCGGAAGUCUGCUGAGAGGUGGACGUGCUCGAAAGAGAACCGGCGCACAGGUGCUGCAUGGCUGUCGU
This 262-nucleotide ribosomal RNA is filed under the name uncultured bacterium. RNAcentral describes it as "partial 16S ribosomal RNA". It matches the Rfam family "Bacterial small subunit ribosomal RNA", at positions 793 to 1055 of the family's 1533-position model. The record is from RNAcentral.